This 407-nucleotide ribosomal RNA is filed under the name uncultured bacterium. RNAcentral describes it as "bacterial SSU rRNA". It matches the Rfam family "Bacterial small subunit ribosomal RNA", at positions 375 to 773 of the family's 1533-position model. The record is from RNAcentral.
GCGAAAGCCUGACGGAGCGAUGCCGCGUGAGCGAGGAAGGCCUUCGGGUCGUAAAGCUCUGUUGUCAGGGAAGAAGGACUCGGGUUCGAAUAGGGCCUGAGGGUGACGGUACCUGACGAGGAAGCCACGGCUAACUACGUGCCAGCAGCCGCGGUAAUACGUAGGUGGCAAGCGUUGUCCGGAUUUACUGGGUGUAAAGGGCGUGUAGCCGGGAAGGCAAGUCAGAUGUGAAAUCUGGAGGCUCAACCUCCAAACUGCAUUUGAAACUGCUUUUCUUGAGUAUCGGAGAGGUAAUCGGAAUUCCUUGUGUAGCGGUGAAAUGCGUAGAUAUAAGGAAGAACACCAGUGGCGAAGGCGGAUUACUGGACGACAACUGACGGUGAGGCGCGAAAGCGUGGGGAGCAAAC